GUUAAAAAGCUCGUAGUUGGAUUUCUGGGAGGGUGCUAAUGUCCGCCGUAGCGCGUGUGCAGCCGCGCCCUUCCAUCCUUCUGUUAACGCCUCUUGGCAUUUGUUUGCUGGUGGCGGGCUCAGAUAUUUUACCUUGAGAAAAUUAGAGUGUUUCAGGCAGGCUAGGCCGGAAUAUAUUAGCAUGGAAUAAUGGAAUAGGACUAUGGUCUCUUUGUUGGUUUGAGGGACUGCAGUAAUGAUUAAUAGGGAUAGUUGGGGGCAUUAGUAUUUAAUUGUCAGAGGUGGAAUUCUCAGAUUUGUUAAAGACUAACUUAUGCGAAAGCAUUUGCCAAGGAUGUUUUCAUUAAUCAAGAACGAAAGUUAGGGGAUCAAAGACGAUCAGAUACCGU
RNAcentral lists this ribosomal RNA (389 nucleotides) under uncultured marine eukaryote. RNAcentral's name for it is "SSU rRNA". It matches the Rfam family "Eukaryotic small subunit ribosomal RNA", at positions 618 to 1018 of the family's 1831-position model. The record is from RNAcentral.